Small nucleolar RNA from Rattus norvegicus (Norway rat), 108 nucleotides. Ensembl annotates it as small nucleolar RNA SNORA17. Lineage: Eukaryota; Metazoa; Chordata; Mammalia; Rodentia; Muridae. The record is from Ensembl.
AGGGCAGGUGCUGCAGAUGUGGCUGUGUGUCAUGUGCAGAGAGGAAAGGCUAUGCCUGACCUCCCUGUUCUGACCUGUGAAUAUCUGAAUGAAUAGUAGCUUAACAUU